UUCAUGUGAACCCUAAAUCCUAAUCAAGAAUCAUUAGAUUAAAUAUCCAAACAAUCAGCCAGAUCCCAAUGCAACAAAACAAAUUCCAAGAAAGGGGAUCGAGAACAGAAACCGUAAGAACAUAUAAAUCAAGAACCCUCAUGGAUUUUUUUAUUUUUUUUUCCAUUUUUUUUACAAUUAACAAGUAACCAAACAAAUUUGAGAACCUAAAAUUAAGAAUCACCCAACCAAACUUCAGAUUCAUAAUAUAUUUUCUCAGCAUCCAAACAGAGGAUAAUGCAACACAUGAAGAAAUAAAGACGCAAAUGAAGAAAAGAAAGGGGAUUGAGAAAACAGACGAUGGUGGGUUUGAACUCCUUGAGCUUCUGCAGCUUCUUCAACUCCAUCUGAAGCUUGUCUUGCUCUCGGCCCUUCAUUGCGAGAUCUUCCUCCUUGGUCUUCAAGAUCUCAUCCUUCUCCUUCAGGAGCUCCAAGGUUUUCUCCUUCUCGAGUUUCAUCGCUUGCAGCUUCUCUUGCAUUUCUUCGAGUUCUUUCUCGAAUGACUACGGUUGGGUCUUCUUCUGCUUGGCCUGUUUCUUAGAAGCCGCAACUUUGGCCGACUUCUUGGGGGAGGUUCGAGUCUGAGAGAGGCUUGCUUGGUUCUCCUUCGUUGGGUUGGAGUCCGAUGGUGUUUGGAUCGGGCUUGGAGCGGCGUCAGAGACCUUUCCUGCGAGGAUAUUGGCUGCAUUUCCAGAUGGGUUUUUGUCCUUGAGUGCCCUUCGGAUGGCCCUUGGCUUCCUGUUGGGCAUUUCGGCGAUUGCGGUGUCAUCCAUGGCAGAGAGAGAGAGGUCAGAGGUCGGCGAUUGCGGGAUCCCAGCUAUUCCAUACAAUCUACUUUUGGAUCCCUCACGUGCAGGCUAACGGAAAAGGACGAAAGUUAAGUUUUGGGGUUGAAAUCCGAAUAGACUUUACCACGAAUCCGAAUGUUUUUACUACAUGGUCUAUCAUCUGAAUACCUUAAGACCACGAGGACUAUUUAUCCAAUUUAGCCAUAAAAUUUUGAUGGAUAUUUUGGAUAAACCACCAAUUAAACUUUGAGUUUUGAGCCUCUUCCCCCUUUAUCUUGCGUCUCAUCUCUUCUUGGAAUGGGACUGUGGUCCGUGUGAAUUAACCCUACGAUGACUCCAUAGAUAGGAGCUGACAAUUGACUUGACUUGGCUGCUUCUUUGCUCCUCUGUGUGCAACUUCAGAAUUCUUGUGUUCACUUCUAUAAAAAGCACUUUAGUUAGUCAUCUUCAUCCAUUAGCUGACAUGUAACUACUACAAAAUGAAGACAUCUUUUCCUUCACGAUUAAAGGUUUUACACGGCAUGUUUUCUUUAAACAUAGCUGCACCUGCACCAUCUUUCAAACAUGGCUGCUGCUUUUGACAUUAAUAUAGUUAAGCAUAGCUGCUGUGUAGCAUCCUUGGAUUCCUUGCAUAGAUGUUGCCUUAGGAGACGAUUUGAGGAGGAGGGACCAACGAGUUCUUGUUGGCUUCUGCUUUCUCUGUUUCCUUUUGAAUUUCAGAAAAGCCUUUUCCACGGGGUUAGAAUCCCACUCCAAACCUUUUACCUUUUCUUUAAAAUUCAAUUAACUAUUUUGGAAUCACAUACACAUGCAUCUUUUUGGGAUGGAUGAGUUUCACCUUUCCAAGAGUUUUAAUGCUUUUAACAACCUUGACAGCACAUCUGUGAAAUCUCAUCCCCGGAAUUUCAUUAUUUAAGUACGUAUCUCCUUUUUUUUUUCUUUCUAAUUUUGUAUUUUGUAUUUAUGUUAUUUUUAUUUUUAUUUCUGUUAAUUUUAGAAUUUGAAUCGUAUAGUUAUAAGGUAUGAUUUUUCGUAAUUAAUCUUUUAAUAUAUGUAUACGUUUCGAGAUCACAAUUAAUGUUUUUGAACAAAGCUUGAUUCCACGAACGCAUAGCCGAAAGGGGUUUGUGAAUCGAAGUUAUGUUGAAGUCAUUUAUUGGGAAGGAUCCAUGAGAGAGGGGAUAGCCCCAUUUAUUGGGGGAAAGAACCAAUGAGAAGGGGGAGAGAAGGCCCAGUUGGCGAAUCCCACACAUGACCCGCGUGCCUGGUCUCUAAUCCGGUUCCUACACCAAAUUUUUCGAUUCCACUCAGCGGCUUCCCAUCUUGCAAUUCCAUAUCAACUCGAGUCGAUUUGGUCCUGGUUUCAUGAUGCACAGAGUCGUUAGGGUUCGCAAGCGCACCGCGAGUAUCUCACCGUUGCCGUGACUUUCGUCAUCGUCCAUCACCAUAAUCUAACUCCUCUCGACAUUAGGAGCAAGAUCCAAGCAAGGAUCGAAGCAUUGGAGGUCGGGUGACGUUGAAUCAACGAUCACCUAUUUCUAGGGUUUUCGGUGAACCAUGUCGAAAUUCAGGUGUUUUAUGACUGAAUUGGACCUGAGUCUAGGUAUGAAAAUUCAUCCUUGUGACUUGUUCUACCAGCUUGUGCAAUUUGGGGACGAUCGAAGAUGGUCAGGAACUCAGGUUUCCGUUCAUCGAAAUUGCCGCGAGAUUGAUAAUCCUAGUUGUCAUAUGUAUCCGUUGUAUAGUCUGGAAUCUAGUGAAUCAUGUCGAGUUCUAGAAACUAAAUGAUUCUGAAUCUCUAUUUGUCUGCUAGAAAGUGCCAUGAGGAUUGUCGGAUUUUAGAAAAAAAGGUGAAUUACGAAUAGCUUGAUCGCAUCUGAGAGUACGUAGACAGUCUAACAAGAAAGUUAGAUGCAACCAUGUGAUAAAAGAAAUGUUACUACAUUAUUGAUUCAUUGAGUUGCAUUUGGACAUGUCUCGGCGAUGAGGCAUGAAAGAUGGAACAGUUCUGUAAUGAUACCAUGUGUCGAUCCUGAACGUAUCUUGAAAUCGUGGCGUGACAAUUUUAAUGGUAUUAGAGCUUAAGUAUUAGAUUCUAGAACUAGACCUUGUUUUAAUGCUGCAAAUUGUGUCAUGAGAUUGGCAUAUAGCGCUAUUACUUGUAUGUAGAGAGAAAGACUUUUCAUUCAAUCAUGGAUAUUGAUUAUGGUAAAUUGAUUCGUGUUUAUACUGUCGAGUUCUUAUUCCACGUGACAUUUAUUGUGUUGCGAGGACUCAUAAUUCUGUUGCUGAAAUGAUUAUGAAUAUGUUGUGAACUGAAAUUCAGAAUAAUUAAAUUGGAUAAUAGUGGGCUCUGCGAAUGGUUUCAAAAGAAGGUACUAAAAAAUUCGAGGAUAAUUUUUUGUAAGGAGCAUUUUUACUCACCAUCCUAUUUAUCAUCGUUAGAUGAAUUUGAAUUUCGAGAUUUGUGUAGUUGAUAAGCAUAAAUCUCAAAAUUCAAACUUAUCUAACGGUAAUAAAUAUAAGGGAACUUUAACGAAAAGCACCCGGUACUGUUCACUUUAACGAAAAGCAACCGGUACUGUUCACUUUAAUGGUGAGCAUACACCACAUAAAUGGUGAUGAGCAAAAAUGCACUCUUUUUUGUAAGGGGGAAGGAUGUGAAAUCCCGUCUACAAAAUUUCAUAUUUAAUUACGUAUCUUUUUUUUUUAAUUUCAUAUUUUGUAUGUACAUUAUUCUUAUUUUAAUUUUAAAAUUUGAAUCGUAUAAUUACAACGAAUGAAUUUUUGUAAUUAAUCUUUUAAACUCUGUAGGCAUUUUAAGGUCACAAUUAAUGUUUUUGAAUAGACCUCGAUCCCACGAGCUCAUAGCCGAAAGUCGUUCGCGAACCGAAACUAUAACGAAGAAUUUACAAGCAAUGGAAGUCAGACAUAAAAUAAUUUAGGAGUUUCUAUAAGAGCACUUCCAGCGUUGGCUGGUGCUCGGGGGACAGGCAGCAAAAAGGGCCUGAGAGCCCGAGUUAUUGGCUCCAGCGUGUGGGAACCCAAGGGACAGGGCAAGCCAGAGUAACAUGCAUGUCACGAAUUGCCAGCCCGAGAGCCCGAAGGCAACGUGACGUGGGCUGACGUCAGCCAUAAUAUAAAAUUAAUAAAAAUAUAAAAUAUUAAUAAAAUAAAAAGAAAAAUUAAAAAAAUUGUAAAACCCAGGCUUUGAACUCAACGACUUUUGCUGGAGUUCAUCGUCGAGGUUGAUGAACACCCACAGACAAAUGGCAGAGAUCCAGUCCCUCCUCCGUCGUAGCUGCCGCCGCACCCCACACCGCCUUCGCCCCCACGCACUCGCGAUCCUCCUCCUCCCACUGGCGAGCCCAGAUCGCACGAUUUGGGAUUUUUUUUUGGGGGGGAGGAGAGAGAGAGAGAGUUUGGUUAUGGAGCGGGGAAGAUCGGGAUCGUUGAUGGAGGCUGAGGUGGGUGGGAUGGUGAAGAUGGAGGAAGAGAGGUGGCGGUGGGGUGGUGAAGAUGGAGGAAGAGAGGCGAGGGGGUGCGUUUGGGGGGAGGACACAGGUGGAAAUGAAAGGCUUUUGGAAUGGUGCGUUGGCACCAUCUAAAAAGAAGAAGAAAAAGAAGGGCUUUUGGAUUGGUGCGUUGGCACCAUCUGAAAAGAAUAAGAAAAAGAAGUGGUGCGUUGGCACCAUCUGAAAACAAGAAGAAAAAAUGUUUGCCAAAAAAAAAGAAGAAGAAGAAGAAAUAAUAAUAAUAAUAAAAGUUUUGGAAUGGUGUGCUGCACCAUGUGAAAAGAAAAAAUAAAAAUGAUUUUUAAUAGAAAAUUGUAUAACGAGACUGAUUAAAAAUUCUAUCUGAAAUUACAAAUAAAAUUAUUUUGUAUUAUUGCCAGGGGGAGGGCUCCCACGCUGGAGAUGCAAAGGGCAGUUACUGUUCAUUAAGGGCAAUUAUUGUUCAUUGGGUGGAUUGAAUAGUGAAUUGCCUGUGGGAAGGGCUCCUACGCUGGAGUUGCUCUAAAGGGGUUGGAGA
RNAcentral lists this long non-coding RNA (4859 nucleotides) under Malus domestica (apple). RNAcentral's name for it is "long non-coding RNA (MDOM_LNC006559)". The record is from RNAcentral. Lineage: Eukaryota; Viridiplantae; Streptophyta; Magnoliopsida; Rosales; Rosaceae.